GAGCAGAAGCUGGAGCCCCCGGAACGCGCCUGUGCCAUCCGCGGCGCGCUGGCCCGGCGCCUUUAAGAAGCCGCGUCAUGAAGUCAUUUCUCCGCGACGCCCCCGCACCGUCGCUCCCCGCCGUCUCCCCUCCGCUGCUGGAGGCGGCCAAUCAGAAGCCUCCUUCCUCCGCCCUCCUGACCAGCUCCGGCUGGGUGCAGCAGAAGGUGUAUACGCAUGAGAUAGGUCGCUGCCGCGAUGGAGGGAUGUGCGGGCGGGUUAGGAUUCUGUGGUUAAGCCUGUGGCCUCUGGAGCCGCGAGUUUGAAUCCUGGUUGCAGCUCUUCCACUUACUAGCUGUGUGGCCAUGGAUGGAGUUUCACUCGUUUUCUACGCUAGAGUGCAAUGGUGCAAUUUCAGCUCGCCACAACCUUGGCUCACUGCAACCUCCACCUCCGGGAUUCAAGCGAUUCUCCUGCCUCAGCCUCCCGAGUAGCUGGGAUUACAGGCAUGCACCACCACGCCCCGCUAAUUUUGUAUUUUGGUAAAGAUGGGGUUUCGCCACGUUGGUCAGGCUGGUCUCGAACUCCCAACCUCAGGUGAUCUGCCUGCCUCAGCCUCCCAAAGGCCUGGGAUUACAGGCGUGAGCCACUGCACCCACCCGACAGUUGGAUUUUUAAAUUAAUAUUUAGGUGUUCUUUAUUUUAAAUAUAUAAUAAUAUAUAAAUAAAGACAGAUUUCUUCUCCCA
This is a long non-coding RNA of Symphalangus syndactylus (siamang), 726 nucleotides long. RefSeq lists it as uncharacterized. NCBI's taxonomy places the organism in Eukaryota, Metazoa, Chordata, Mammalia, Primates, Hylobatidae. The record is from RefSeq and is a predicted model, not a curated record.